RNAcentral lists this ribosomal RNA (497 nucleotides) under uncultured bacterium. RNAcentral's name for it is "partial 16S ribosomal RNA". It matches the Rfam family "Bacterial small subunit ribosomal RNA", at positions 28 to 507 of the family's 1533-position model. The record is from RNAcentral.
GAUGAACGCUGGCGGCGUGCCUAAUACAUGCAAGUCGAGCGAACGGACGAGAAGCUUGCUUCUCUGAUGUUAGCGGCGGACGGGUGAGUAACACGUUGAUAACCUACCUAUAAGACUGGGAUAACUUCGGGAAACCGGAGCUAAUACCGGAUGAUAUUUUGAACCGCAUGGUUCAAAAGUGAAAGACGGUAUUGCUGUCACUUAUAGAUUGAUCCGCGCUUCAUUAGCUAGUUGGUAAGGUAACGGCUUACCAAGGCAACGAUGCAUAGCCGACCUGAGAGGGUGAUCGGCCACACUGGAACUGAGACACGGUCCAGACUCCUACGGGAGGCAGCAGUAGGGAAUCUUCCGCAAUGGGCGAAAGCCUGACGGAGCAACGCCGCGUGAGUGAUGAAGGUCUUCGGAUCGUAAAACUCUGUUAUUAGGGAAGAACAUAUGUGUAAGUAACUGUGCACAUCUUGACGGUACCUAAUCAGAAAGCCACGGCUAACUACGUG